AUCUUGCUGGUGGUACCUGCCUAUUUGAGUCCUUCUAAAGAGCUUGCUGUACGCAGGCUCCAGUGCCUUCUGUUGCGUUGGGAGCAGGUGAUCCAUUGCACGGUGAAGAUGAUUUACAGCACAGGAUGCCAUUGCACUGCAAUUCUCCAGCAGAAAGACAUGGUUCACCCCCAGCUCUGGUGUAUUUUGAGUAUUUCCCUGCUAUGGUCUGUAGGAACAGUGCUGUCUGCAGUGUGACAGCUGAAUUGGAUGCCCCAUCUCUUUACAAAAGCUGCUGAGCUUCAGCUUCAUUCCCAUGCCCUUUCCCUCCCCAAGCACACCUUCUCGUCUGCCAUUUCAGAGUGUCAUUGGUUUAAUUAAAUGUCCUCCUCCUCUUUGUUCAGGAAGGCUGUGUUCUUUUAGCUGAGAUACUGCCUUUAAAGGAUUUUUCAGAGGGAGGUUUUAGUUCAGUGUUUACCACGUACAGAUAGAUACAUACGGCUGAAUUUGCCUGGUCCUUGACCUGCACAAAGAACAGGAGAUUCUUCCUGACACUUGGAGGCUCCCCAGUGCCUUCUGAUGUUUUGACAGGUACUGCCUGAUAUCAAAUAUGCACAAUCCUUGGUUUGGAAAGAGAACUUCAAAAGAGCUGGAAUUGUAUUUAAAUUGCAAACAAAUUGUGUUUGCAUUGGAAGAAGUAUGUGAUGAUUGUUGCUUACUUAAACGUCGCUAUACAGAAAAGGCUUUGGGGGGAUUUAAGAAGGUCGGCACAUUAAUUCUGACAGGGACAUAAGCUCCUAUAUUGUUUUGAUCUAUUUUAACAUUGUUGGAAGGACACAAAAAUGCAACAACACAAUACAAACGGAAUGAGUGUAGAUGUAGAAAAAUGUUAUUUGCUUGAACGGGUUCUGAAGUCCCUCUGUCCACAGUUCAGCCUUUCAGCCACCCAUCCGCUAAAGUAGAGGUAUUACAUACAGAAAGGAAAGGAGGAAACCUCCGCUGUCAGCCCGGUGCCGCUGUUCUCUAUCCCCAGGGGAACCUGGGGCUUUGGUAUCAAGGCAGAAUGUCACAAGAUGCUUCUUCAGCACACAUGUAUAUUAAGAACAGGCUUAAAUGGGGUGGAUGUUAUCUAGAGAUUAUAUUUUCAGAUCUGCAGUCAUCAUAUUAACUGAUUAAUAAUUGGUGUUCUGGCUGCUCCUGGGGAUUCCUACAGGGACAGCAAGGCUGGGACAAUAGCAGCUCCUCAGCCCAUUCGGCACGUAGGGUAUGUAUGGGGGAGAGGAGUAGGACAGAUACUGGGGCAGAACAGCAAAGCUUUCCAAACUGCACAAAACAUUCUUAAACAGAACAGGGAAGAGGAGAUAUGGCCAAGCUUUUAAUUUCUUAUAGCAAAAUAUGUGUAUUAUACACCCUUGCAUUCUUCCCAGUGAAAUUAUUUUGAGGAAAAGCUUUAAUGCAUUCUGGUAAUACACAUCAAGGUUGCUGAUCAAAGCGAGCCAUUUCAGUUUUCUGUGUGUCAGUAGGUGGAGUUUCAGCUGUUUAUUUUUAACUGUAAAAUCCUGCCUGGCUUGUGUUUUGGCCAUAGGCUGAUGCAUGUCCUUUCUUGCUAGGCUGCUGAAAUCAGCAAAUCCUUUGACUGAGCUUUGAGCAGUUCUUUCUCUCAGAAAAUUAAAAAUCUGUCCUGCAUCUCAUCGAAACAGAGGUGCAGUCUUCACCAGCGGGUCCUGCCCUGGAGUUAUUUGCAGCUGUUCACUCAACUUCAUCUGUACUUCAAAAAACUGAUUUGAAUUCAUUGAAAUUUGAAGUAUCCUGGAUAUAAGCGUAGGUAGAAAAAUGACGAUUUGGUCUUUAACCAGCUGGUGACAAUGGAGAGGGACAGACCUGGAAUAUAAAACUUGUCUCUUAUGGGGAAAUACAACAGAAGCUGAAGGACACCCUUUGGCAAAGGUUGUUUUUGAGAUCAGACCUGGCGGGCGGCGGAGGACGGGCAGCUCUUGCAAUCCUGGCCUGAAUCAAGAUGGGACCCCAACUUCCCUCUGUUCUGAGACAGAGCUCUACAACACUUGGCUAUAGGGCUCUUUACAAAUUGGCAAACCACAUUGCCAAAGCUGCUUAACCUACUGCCCUACUGCAACAGAAGCUGAGUGUCUGUGAUGUACACGGGACAUAGAUAUUUUCACCAUUAUAUCUCAAUGCCUCCUACCCGCAUGAGCUCAGAAAACCUCUAAUAGGGGAAAGGGAUGGAGCAAGGGCUCAAUAAGCUGUCCCUGGAGCUUGCUCUUAUUGCACCAAGCUAGGGAGAGAGUUUCUGGAGUUCUGGUUGCCAGCUGUCAGAUAUAAUCUGCUCUGAAACCCAAGCCAGCUUCCAGGUCACAUUUGUGAGCAAAUCUGUCAUCUGAGCUGGAUUUUCAGGGCCCUGUAAACUGCAGAAGCCACUCCUAAUUACACACUUCAUUUGUAAAAGUUGCUUAUUCACAGAAAUAUGGGAGAAACCGAUCUCUUCCCAAAUACAUCCUAAACUUUUCCUGUACAGAGCUGUAGCCGAGGGGCUCAUGUUUUCCUUCCUGGCUUCUGGGAUGCACCAAUGAGUUCCUGGAAAGAUUUGCUUAUUUCAUUAUUGUAAAAAUAAAAGUCCAUUUAGCUCAC
This is a long non-coding RNA of Gallus gallus (chicken), 2625 nucleotides long. The record is from Ensembl. Lineage: Eukaryota; Metazoa; Chordata; Aves; Galliformes; Phasianidae.